This 402-nucleotide long non-coding RNA is filed under the name Solanum tuberosum (potato). Its description in RNAcentral is "long non-coding RNA (STUB_LNC005051)". Lineage: Eukaryota; Viridiplantae; Streptophyta; Magnoliopsida; Solanales; Solanaceae. The record is from RNAcentral.
UUUGCCAUUCUUGUUCCUCAUUGAUUUCGUCUGGACUCUCUUUUGAGUUUUGAGUUGUGCUAUCCAUCAAAUUAGUGGUAUCUGUUGUAACUUCCACAUUGGUGGUAGCUUGCAUUGUUUUUUGCUCCCUGAGUGUAUUCUUCGCCUUCUUGGUUUGUAAAUUAGGAUGGAGCUUUCUGCAAUUUUCAUCUCUAUGACUUUGCAUUUUACAGUACGAGCAGAAUGCUGGGAUGGUUUCAUACUCAAUUCUUUGGUUGAUCAUCUCAAUCAGUCCAUCCCUGUUAGUAAUUUCCAAGAUCACUUCGUCGAUAAGAGGUUUGGUCAGAUCUAUUUCCACCCUUACCUUCACAAUGGUGGGUCUAGUUUUGGUUAGUGUGGCUUUAUCAAGCAGUAAAGGGGUCC